Molecule: long non-coding RNA, 240 nt
Filed under: Geospiza fortis (medium ground-finch)
Lineage: Eukaryota; Metazoa; Chordata; Aves; Passeriformes; Thraupidae
Description: lncRNA (ENSGFOG00000009067.1)
Source: RNAcentral
CCAUGAACAUGCUACAGUCAGCUGCAAGGAUGAAAAUGGAUGGCAAGAAAUUCAUCAGGCUUGCAGGUAUGGACACGUCCAACACCUGGAGCACCUGCUGUUCUACGGCGCUGACAUGUGCGCGCAGAACGCCUCGGGGAACACGGCCCUGCACAUCUGUGCCCUCUACAACCAGGAGAGCUGUGCAAGGGUGCUGCUGUUCCGGGGAGCCAACAAGGAGAUCAAGAAUUACAACAGCCA